CUGAAGAGCGCCUGCGAGGGCGGGCGGGCGGCACAGCACGGAGAGGAGCCCAGGGGCGGCGGAGCCAGCGGGGAACGAGCUCGGAACCGGCGCGGAACCGGCGCGGAACCGGCGCGGCAGCACCGCGGGCCGCCCUCAGCCGCGGCCCGGCCGGCAGCGCCCACACACCGCGGGCACCCGGCUGCCUUCCGAGCCGCAUCCCGCCCCUUGUGUGCCCCCUCCUUUGGCCGGGACUCUCCGCCGGGAUCUGCGCUGUUGUUGUUGGUUUUGGCCGGCGCGGCAGCAUCGAGGAUAUUUUGGCAGCGGCGCCUCGAUCGCUUGGACGCCGCGUGAGGGGCCGGGGCGGCAGCGCGGGAGCGCCGGGGGCCAGAUGGGUGACUUUGGGAUCAGGAACAUGGAUCAGGUGGCUCCUGUCUCCAACGUGUACAGAGGAAUGCUCAAGCGUCAGCCGGCGUUUGACACCUUUGACAGCUCAAACUCCCUUUUUGCUGGGUAUUUUUUCUCACUCAGUGAAGACCAAACGCUUCAGGAGGUGCCAACAGGAUUUGACUCCACUUCUUAUGAGUCGAACAACUGUGAAUUGCCUCUGUUAACCCCGUGCAGCAAGGCUGUGAUGAGUCAGGCCCUGAAAGAUACUUUCAGUGGUUUCACAAAGGAACAGUGUCGGCUGGGUAUCCCAAAUAAUCCCUGGCUGUGGACUGAACAGCAAGUUUGCCAGUGGCUUUCAUGGGCUACCAAUGAGUUCAGCUUGGCAAAUGUGAACUUCCAUCAGUUUCUUAUGAGUGGCCAAGACCUGUGCAACCUGGGCAAGGAACGUUUCCUGGAACUGGCACCUGACUAUGUGGGUGAUAUUCUGUGGGAACACCUGGAACAGAUGAUAAAAGACAGCCAAGAGAAGACACAGGAUCAAUAUGUGGAGAACUCUCACCUCACAUCAGUUCCUCACUGGGUCAAUAAUAAUUCCUUAACUGUUAACGUAGAUCAGAAUUCCUAUGGAAUGCAAAUGCCUGGAUACCCUAAACCCCUGAGCUAUCCCAAACCCAGUCUCCUGACUGACGUCUGUCAGACUUCCACGGCCCCCAAUCUCCUCAACCCAGAACAAGACUUCCCAUUGUUCCCUAAAACCCAAGCAGAUGCUGUUGGUGUGAACUACUGUGCAGUAAACCAAGAUUUCCCAAGGAACAAUCUCAAUCUGCUGAUGGAGAACUCUGGCAAGCUGAGAGAGCAUGAAUCCAGUGACAGUGGUGCUGAGAGCUAUGAGAGCUCAGAUUCCAUGCUGCAGUCCUGGAACAGCCAGUCCUCCCUGGUGGAUUUGCAGCGUGUGCCAUCCUAUGAGAGCUUUGAGGAUGACUGCAGCCAGUCCCUGUGCCUGAGCAAACCUACCAUGUCCUUCAAAGACUACAUUCAGGAACGCAGUGAUCCUGUGGAGCAAGGGAAACCAGUUAUACCAGCAGCCAUCCUGGCUGGCUUUACUGGCAGUGGACCUAUCCAGCUGUGGCAAUUCCUUCUGGAGCUACUGACUGACAAGUCCUGUCAGUCCUUCAUUAGUUGGACAGGAGAUGGAUGGGAAUUUAAACUUGCUGACCCAGAUGAGGUGGCACGGCGGUGGGGCAGGAGGAAGAACAAGCCCAAGAUGAACUACGAGAAGCUGAGCCGGGGGCUGCGCUAUUACUACGACAAGAACAUCAUCCACAAGACGUCGGGCAAGCGCUACGUGUAUCGCUUCGUCUGCGACCUGCACAACCUGCUGGGCUACACCCCCGAGGAGCUGCACGCCAUGCUGGGGGUGCAGCCCGACACCGAGGACUGAGCCCAGCCUGGGGACAGUGCCCCGGAGCCGCCGUGGGGACAGUGCUCCCGGUGCCACCCUGGGGACAGUGCUCCCGGUGCCACCCUGGGGACAGUGCUCCCGGUGCCACCCUGGGGACAGUGCCCCGUGGGGACAGUGCCCCGGAGCCGCCGUGGGGACAGUGCCCCGUGGGGACAGUGCCCCUGGAGCCGCCAUGGGGACAAGCCACCCUGGAGACAGUGCCCCACUUCCACACUGCCCUGGAAGGAUGGGGUUGGCUUUGAAACCCUUGGAAACCAAAGGUUGGCUGUGAGAAACCAGCAGAACUCUUGGCUGGGAUGUUGUCAAACACCACCGUCCUCAUGCUGUUUAUUUAAAAACUAAUUUAUUUGAAAUGAGCAGUAAGGAGAACUGGUAUUACUUUUGUUUUAAAGCACGUUUUGUUACUGUUGUUGUUAUUGUUACUACUCCAGAAAUGUGCUGCAUAGGUACACAAACACUCUUGUGUCCAAAACCAGAUGUAGCAGCAACUGUUAACAAAAAAAAAAAAACCACCCCACCCUUUAAAAGGAGGGAAGGAAAAUCAUACCAUUUCAAUAUUCAGUUUGUAUAUAUUCUGUGAUUCCUUUGGAAACUCUGAUGUUCCUAUUUAACAGAAACUGUAUAGUGUAAAUUAAACUAAUUGUAUGUGUGUUUUGAAAUAGGAUGAAUGUAAACUUAUCAAAUGUGGGGUAUUUUUUUUUCAUGUUUGUCUAGGAUAUACAACCUUCUGCAAAUAUUUAAUUGGCCUGAGAGACAGCAGAAGUUCUAUGCUCAGUGUGCAUGCAUUUGGGGGGGCAGGGAGGGAGGCCGGGCUCAGGAUUUUGCCAAGACUGAAGCUGGCAAUUCUUUGUGCAUUUUGGCAUUUUUACAGGAAACUAAUGUUGUAUUCUGGGACAUAAAAGGGCCUGUUCGUGGUUUCUUCUGUAACUGAAAAAUGAAAAUAUUAAUAUUGGUAAAAUUACCUUUUUUUCUUUAUAAAUGGCAUAUGUUUUUCAACUUCUAUGCAUGUACUUUUAAGAAAAAUUUAUAUACAAGCCUUAUUUUUUCAGUUCACAUGUCUCUUCCUGCAGUUUAUUCUGUAUGAUUAAAAUACGAAUUCUAUUUUUGGAAAAACUGUGACUCCUUUUCAAAGAUCAGGAGAGUUUUAUGUAGCAGCUAUUUUUACUGCAAAAAAAAAAAAAAAAAAAAAAGGAAAAAAAAAUCACUGGAAAAAUGUACUUUGUAAGAAAGCUUUAUUUUUUAUCUGAGCUUGAUGUACAGUUAAAUGUGUUGUACAGUGUGAGAGGUUUAAAAAUAUGACUUCAUUAAAACCUCUUGAAAAGAAAA
This is an RNA transcript of Oenanthe melanoleuca, 3157 nucleotides long. It is a transcript of the gene named ETS proto-oncogene 2, transcription factor, with no coding region annotated. The record is from RefSeq and is a predicted model, not a curated record. NCBI's taxonomy places the organism in Eukaryota, Metazoa, Chordata, Aves, Passeriformes, Muscicapidae. The transcript is spliced from 11 exons.